This 407-nucleotide ribosomal RNA is filed under the name Verrucomicrobiota bacterium. Its description in RNAcentral is "Verrucomicrobia bacterium partial 16S ribosomal RNA". It matches the Rfam family "Bacterial small subunit ribosomal RNA", at positions 355 to 776 of the family's 1533-position model. Lineage: Bacteria; Pseudomonadati; Verrucomicrobiota. The record is from RNAcentral.
UGGGGAAUAUUGGACAAUGGAGGAAACUCUGAUCCAGCAAUUCUGUGUGUGUGAAGAAGGUUUUAGGACUGUAAAACACUUUUAGUAGGGAAGAAAAAAAUGACGGUACCUACAGAAGAAGCAACGGCUAAAUACGUGCCAGCAGCCGCGGUAAUACGUAUGUUGCGAGCGUUAUCCGGAAUUACUGGGCGUAAAGAGCUCGUAGGUGGUUUGUCGCGUCGUCUGUGAAAUUCCGGGGCUUAACUCCGGGCGUGCAGGCGAUACGGGCUGACUUGAGUGCUGUAGGGGAGACUGGAAUUCCUGGUGUAGCGGUGAAAUGCGCAGAUAUCAGGAGGAACACCGAUGGCGAAGGCAGGUCUCUGGGCAGUAACUGACGCUGAGGAGCGAAAGCAUGGGUAGCAAACAGG